AACGGGAGGGGCAAGCGUUAUUCGAAAUGACUGGGCGUAAAGGGUUCGUAGACGGUAAUAAAAGUUAUUUGUUAAAUUUUAAAGCUUAACUUUAAGUCGGCAAAUAAUACUAUUUUACUUGAGUUUUUUUCAAAAGAAUGGAAUUUUAUAUUUAGGGGUAAAACCUGUAGAGAUAUAAAGGAAUACCAGUAAAAGCGAAGGCGAUUCUUUAGUAAAAACUGACGUUGAGGAACGAAAGCAUAGGGAGCAAACAGG
Molecule: ribosomal RNA, 255 nt
Filed under: uncultured bacterium
Lineage: Bacteria
Description: partial 16S ribosomal RNA
Rfam family: Bacterial small subunit ribosomal RNA
Source: RNAcentral